Molecule: ribosomal RNA, 421 nt
Filed under: uncultured bacterium
Lineage: Bacteria
Description: bacterial SSU rRNA
Rfam family: Bacterial small subunit ribosomal RNA
Source: RNAcentral
UACCAAUAGAAGAAGCGACGGCUAAAUACGUGCCAGCAGCCGCGGUAAUACGUAUGUCGCAAGCGUUAUCCGGAUUUAUUGGGCGUAAAGCGCGUCUAGGCGGUCUGGUAAGUCUGAUGUGAAAAUGCGGGGCUCAACUCCGUAUUGCGUUGGAAACUGCCAGACUAGAGUACUGGAGAGGUGGGCGGAACUACAAGUGUAGAGGUGAAAUUCGUAGAUAUUUGUAGGAAUGCCGAUGGAGAAGCCAGCCUACUGGACAGAUACUGACGCUGAAGCGCGAAAGCGUGGGGAGCAAACAGGAUUAGAUACCCUGGUAGUCCACGCCGUAAACGAUGAUUACUAAGCGUUGGGGGUCGAACCUCAGCGCCCAAGCUAACGCGAUAAGUAAUCCGCCUGGGGAGUACGUACGCAAGUAUGAAAC